AUGGUAUUGAGUGUUAUAAUAUCGAACUUGACAUUCAUUGCUCCUAAUUUCUGGAAUAGUGCGAUCGCUUCGUCUGCACAAUUAUUUUUACAAAGACCACCAAGUAUUAUAUUGUAUAUGGAAAUGCUCACUGGUAUACCCCUUUCGGUCAUCUCAUGGAACAUUUCCCUUGCAGCAACAGUUCUCCCAAAUUGA
RNAcentral lists this ribosomal RNA (195 nucleotides) under Triticum aestivum (bread wheat). RNAcentral's name for it is "partial small subunit ribosomal RNA". The record is from RNAcentral. Lineage: Eukaryota; Viridiplantae; Streptophyta; Magnoliopsida; Poales; Poaceae.